Cryptomeria japonica (Japanese cedar) is the source of this 5469-nucleotide long non-coding RNA. RefSeq lists it as uncharacterized. Lineage: Eukaryota; Viridiplantae; Streptophyta; Pinopsida; Cupressales; Cupressaceae. The transcript has 3 exons. The record is from RefSeq and is a predicted model, not a curated record.
AUAGAGAGGUCUGUCCUGAAAAGGAAGCUGUUAAAUCACACAAAAUGGUAGUGUACGGUUUUCAAAAAUUAAAUAUUCAGAGUUAAAAUCUUCAUGUUCUGCUGUUAAAUAAAAAAUCCGACAAAAAUAUACUGUAUUUUGCCGUUCUAAAAGUUUGUCGGAGUGUCAUUUUGUGUAAACUUUCCCAAAAGCGUGCUAAUCCCCUAUGUUGUGUGGAGCUGAACACCUAUGAUUGCAGGAUAUGCGCAGUAUGGUCUCAUGGGACGCAAUGAUUGCAGGAUAUGCGCAGUAUGGUGGUUUAUGGAAGAAGCUUUCAGGAUUUUGAAAGAAAUGCCUCAAGAAAUGUGGUUUCGUGGGCUACCAUUGUUGCAGGGUAUGCACAAAACGGAUUUGUUGAAAAGAUUUUGAAACUUUUAGGCAAAACGCGAAUUGCAAGUCUAAAGCCGGACACCACAACCUUCGCUUGCAUCCUUGCUGCUAGGUAACGCAAUGAGAGCUUUUGAACAGGUUACGGACGCCCAUCAAAGCAUAAUAAAAUGGCGCGAGAAAGGGUGUUCUGUCAGAUUGUUGGAUGCCCAUUGAAGCAGAGAGGAUAGAGGAAUUUCGUGAGAGAGGGAUGUGCAGAAAUCUAUCAUGGGAAUUCAUGGAGGAGGAGCUCGUGGAGCUCUGUAAACCCUUUGGCAAAAUCGUCACCACUAAAUGCAACGUGGGAGCCAACCACAACCAGGCCUUCGUUGAAUUUGUGAUCGAUCACCAAACUUCUAUAGUUCCAAGAAUCGGUUCGCUGUGUAAUAUAAUCAUCUUCCAGUCCAUUGCAAAUGAACACAUCAUUAAGUGGAUCCAAUAUGGUAAAUUCUGCAAAAGUAUGUUGAUGUGUAUGUGUUUAAUUGGGCCUUUGAAGCAUAUUUAUUCAUGUCAGAGUACAGUUGGCAUAAUGGAGCAGUCCUUUGCUUAGCAAUUGAAGCCCAUGGAUAGGUGAUAACAUUUUGUCAAGUGUAGUAGAUUAGCACCUUUUGAAUUGUAUUCAGUCCAUCCUUAAAUAUGAACUCCUUAGUACCAUGUGCUAAGUGUAUGUUUGAACCAUAACAAAUUCUUAUUGUGUUUCUACAAAUAUUGCUUGUAUACUAAAAAUGUUGCGGGCAAAUUCUUGGUAGGAUCUAUUUGAAAAGGUUCCAGAUUUGGAAGAAAUGCAAAUUUUUUGAGUGUAUUACCUUUCAAAACCAUAAUUCCUCAUUGUUUGUCGAUUGUAGUUUUGUGAGACUUCCUACUGACUUGAGUUGAGAAUGUAGACUUUCAAUAACUUUUGUAAUUCUGUGCAGUUUGGUAUAGAGGGAGGGAAUGACCCACUUAGCUUGUCACUAGUAGUUAUAGUUUAUUUAGUUUAUCAAAUUUAGAUAGAAUCAAUCCCUCUAAAUUCAGCGUUUUGUGACUUAUAAAAUUGUAUGAAACAUCUUUUAGAAAGGAAAUGUUAUAUAAAGAUGAGGGAAUACUUCUUACGAGUUGAUUUCUAAAAAGAUUUAGCCAUUCUAGAGAAGAGAUAUUAAACAGAAGGGAAUGUUUUUUUGGAGUUGAUUCUUAGAAAGAGAGCUAUCACAAAUAGACAACUUGGAGAAGAGAGAUUACUUGAACAAGAGGGUAUUCUUCUAUUCAAUUGGUUGAAAGCAAGUUAAACCCCACUAGGGUUGGUUAGACUAUUGAGCAUACACAUAGUAUUAAGGAUGGUUUCACCUACCAAAUUGUUUUCUUAUAAAUCAAGGAAAGAAAAGACAUGUUGCAAAAUGACAAUGACAUGUUCCACUAAAGCUAUACUCACCUAAGUGCGAUGGUUAUGUGAGAAAAAUCUUAAUAUGUUGUAAGAGAGUCUAUGCCUGUAAGAAACAAGAGUUUGCACAAGCAAUGAGAUAUGAUGCUCCUUCAAUUGAUUGAAUGGUAUCACAUUGCUUCUAGGAUAUAUCAUCUUAGAUGCACCAAUCUCUUCCUUGCUCCCAUGAACUUAGAUAGUGAUGGGAGUCAUUUAAAUGAACUUUGAAAAUUUGAAGAGCCUGGCUUACUCAAUAUAUCUAUGGUAAAAGUGAAGAAGAAACGAUUAGAUACGAAAAUAAGAAUAGCUUGGCUAUGAGAGUUUGGGUUUAUCAACUUGUGAUUUGGCAAGGUAAUGAGAAGGAAAGCAAUGUAAAAGAGAUGAGGUGUUAACACAAGGUACACGGUUGUGAAAUAACCACAAUUCAUGUGUUAAAUACUCUACAUAAUUUUCUCAUUACUUUCUAUACAAGUGGGACAACAUGCACACGUUCCUACACAUUUCACACCUUAUCUACAUGGAUGGUCAUAUAACUGAUAUAUUCACCUCUAUUAUGCAUUAAUUACACAUAUCUAUACAUUCAUUGCAUAGAUUCAUUAUCCACCUGUUGUGACGUAUUCACACAUCGCCCCAUUGCAAAUGGGUACCCCUGCUUUUUAUUCGCUGUGGGGUUUUGCUUUCUGGGUUUUAGAGUUUUGUCUGUUAGCCUUUGCUGUUCGAGUGUCGCUAGGGGGAUCACCUGGAUAGCAGGCUCUGCUUGAGCUAGGUCAAGUUGGUGAGUGAUGAAGUCGGGAAUGUCAUCCUGAUCUUCAAAUGCCCUGAAAUUUGGCUAAGUUUGGAAUGUCCUGAUCCUGAAAUUUGGCUAAGUUUGGAAUGUCCUGAUCUUGAAAUUUGACUAAGUCUGGAAAACUGAAGAAUCCUCCAAAAACUAGAUUUUGCAAUAUAACUCCUGGAGGUCCGAAACCACUCUCAAACAUCCUGACAGUAUAUAUGGAAUAUUCACUUAUACUUGAAUGUUAUAUUCCAUAAAAUGAUCCUGACGGAGAGUCUGAAAUGUCAAAUUUCGCUCUUGACCCUUCCAAAGGGUCCAAAGCGAAUUUCACUCCUGGCCCUUCCAAAGGGUCCAGAGCGAAAUUCUUUAAAACACUAAUUUUUCCUUUAGCCAAAGUCAGGAUCAAGAUGGAGAUGCAUGAGGAAGUAUCUAUGUUUGCCUCCCAAGGAAGAUUAGAGUUUGAAAAAUCAAGAAUCAAGGUCAAAACAUGAUUUUCGCUCCUGACCCUUGCAAAGGGUUCAGAGCGAAAAUCCUUAUAACCCUUGUUUUUUUCCUUAUUUUGGCUAGGCGUUGGCUUGAUGGAGGUUGAAUGGGUAUGUUUUUGCCUUGAGAGGGAGUUAGAAGCUUUGAAGAAUCAAGAUUUUAGCUCAAAAGGAGAAUUUCGCUCUUGACCCUUCCAAAGGGUCCAGAGCGAAAUUCCCUAUAAACUUCAUUUGCUCCCUUGUUUUAGCUUGAAACCUUGCUCCUUAGAUGGAAAACGAUCUAUAUUUGCCUCCAGGAGAAAACUGAAGUUUGAAAAAUGAACAAUCAAGCCCAAAUGGUGAUUUUCGCUCCUGACCCUUCCAAAUGGUCCAGAGCGAAAAUCAACCUAAGACUCAUUUCUUGCCUUAUUUGACCAAAUUUUGAUUUGUAAGGCAUCUUGAAGGGAAGAGUGGACAUGUUUGGACGUUGUAAAUGUUUGAAAGCUUUGAAAAAAUGAAGGAUUCUAGCCAAGAAGGUGAAUUUCGCUCCUGACCCUUCCAAAGGGUCCAGAGCAAAAUUCCUUGCAAGCCUAUUUUUUUGACCUUGCUUAGACCACAAACCUUGUCUCCUGGGUGAAGAAUGAUGUUUUGUUACCUUCCAGAGAAGAUUGGAGUUGAAAAGAUGAAGGAUCAAGUCAACAAUGAGAUUUUUGCUCCUGACCCUUCCAAAGGGUCCAGAGCGAAAAUCCUCCUAGACCUCAUUUCUUUCCUUAUUUGGCCAAAUUUUGAUGUCCAAGGUAUGUUGAAAGAGAGAAUGGGCAUAUUGAAACCCUUAAGGACGUUUGAAAGAGUUGAGGAAUGAGUGUUUUAGCCAAGGAAGGAAAUUUCGCUCCUGACCCUUCCAAAGGGUCCAGAGCGAAAUUCCUUACAAGCCUAUAUUUUUUACCUUGCUUGAUCUUAAAACCUUGUUCCUAGGGCGAAGAGAGAUGAGAUUUUACCUUGCAAUGAAGAUUGGGUUUGAAAGAAUGAUGAUUUUGGUCUAAAAAGUGAAUUUCGCUCCUGACCCUUCCAAAGGGUCCAGAGCAAAAUUCCUAAAAACCCUUAUUUUCUUAGCAAAAUCAAGUCAAACUUGGGUUUCUAUAACUUGGAUGUGAGAGGAGAAGUGUUUUCUUUCCUUUUAAGGUGGAUUCAAGUUGAAAUGAUGGAGGAGUGAGCCUAAAACAAGAUUUUCGCUCCUGACCCUUCCAAAGGGUCCAGAGCGAAAAUCCUAAAACCCAUCAUUUUCUCCAAAAUUUGUGCCAAGCCAUGCCUAGACUAAGGUGAGGGGUGCCCUUGAGAUUGCCCUUGAAUUGAUUUUUGUCUCCAAAAAUGAUGAUUUUGGGCUAGAGGAAGAAAUUCGCUCCUGACCCUUCCAAAGGGUCCAGAGCAAAAUCCUCCAAGACUCUCUUUUAUCUCAAGUUUAUGCUAAGUCAAGUGUGGAUCGGAGUAAGUUGAGAUUGGAGAUGUCCUCAAGAAUGACCUUGAGUUGCUAGUAAUCAAUGAAUUGGAAGGAAUUAAGCAAAAACAAGAAUUUUGCUCCUGACCCUUCCAAAGGGUCCAGAGCGAAAUUCUUCAAAUCCAUCAUUUUCUCCUUGGAUCAAAUCAAACUUUUGGUUUUUAUGGCAUGGAUGGGAGUGAGAAGGUGUGUCCUUGCCUUUUGAAGUUGAUUGAGGUUGAAAGAACGAAGAAAUGAGCUCAAAAUGAGAAUUUCGCUCCUGACCCUUCUGAAGGGUCCAGAGCGAAAUUCUUCAUCUACCUAUUUCCUCCUUGUGUCAAGUCAAGACUAGGAGUCCUAAGGCGUAGUUGAGGUUGAAAUGAUGUUACUUUGCCCUGCAAGAUGAAUUGAAGUGAAGAAAAUGAAGAGUUGUGACCUAAAAGGUGAAUUUCGCUCCUGACCCUUCCAGAGGGUCCAGAGCGAAAUUCCCAAUUUCACUCAAAUUGCUCAUGAUAGAGGUCAAGGCGUGGAUCCCUGGGCUCUGGAAGAAGGAAAACUAGUGUGUGCUCGCCUUGGAAGGUAUUUUGGAGAGGAAACAUGAUAGAUUUUGUCCUAAAAAGUGAAUUUCGCUCCUGACCCUUCCAAAGGGUCCAGAGCGAAAUUUUUAAAAACCUCUCUUUUGCCCCAAAUUUGCAUCAAGAUUGGUGUUGGUUGAGAAUGAGGGCGUCCUUGGGCAUGUAUCUAAGCAAGUGUAGUUGCAAAGUGAGAACAAUUUGGGCCAGGAAUUCAAAUUUCGCUCCUGACCCUUCUAGAGGGUCCAGGGUGAAAUCCUUAUAGGGCCUAUCCCUGGGGAGAAUAUUGAGCAAGCUUCAUUUUAACAUCUUCUUGUUGAUGAUUUAAGGUAGAAAAUGCUAUGUUGAAAUAAAUUUAUUAUGUGUCCUUAAUCAUCUUUUGGUUUGUC